UUUACAAAUAGCUCGGUAUGUUGUUGGAUCUUUCAUUGCUGAUAUUGUGCCAUAUUUUUGCUGAAUAUGCAGUUGGUUCUAAAAAA
This is a long non-coding RNA of Salarias fasciatus (jewelled blenny), 86 nucleotides long. RefSeq lists it as uncharacterized. The transcript has 3 exons. The record is from RefSeq and is a predicted model, not a curated record. NCBI's taxonomy places the organism in Eukaryota, Metazoa, Chordata, Actinopteri, Blenniiformes, Blenniidae.